UACGGAAGGUCCGGGCGUUAUCCGGAUUUAUUGGGUUUAAAGGGAGCGUAGGCCGGCUUUUAAGUCAGCUGUGAAAGUUUGCGGCUCAACCGUAAAAUUGCAGUUGAAACUGGCAGUCUUGAGUACAGUAGAGGUGGGCGGAAUUCAUGGUGUAGCGGUGAAAUGCUUAGAUAUCAUGAAGAACUCCGAUCGCGAAGGCAAGUGUCCGGGGUGCAACUGACGCUGAGGCUCGAAAGUGCGGGUAUCAAACAGG
RNAcentral lists this ribosomal RNA (253 nucleotides) under uncultured Prevotella sp. RNAcentral's name for it is "partial 16S ribosomal RNA". It matches the Rfam family "Bacterial small subunit ribosomal RNA", at positions 524 to 776 of the family's 1533-position model. The record is from RNAcentral. Lineage: Bacteria; Pseudomonadati; Bacteroidota; Bacteroidia; Bacteroidales; Prevotellaceae.